GGGUUGUGAGGUUAAGCGACUAAGCGUACACGGUGGAUGCCUAGGCAAUCAGAGGCGAUGAAGGACGUGCUAAUCUGCGAAAAGCGUCGGUAAGGUGAUAUGAACCGUUAUAACCGACGAUGUCCGAAUGGGGAAACCCAGUGCAAUUCGUUGCACUAUCGUUUGAUGAAUCCAUAGUCAAACGAGGCGAACCGGGGGAACUGAAACAUCUCAGUACCCCGAGGAAAAGAAAUCAACCGAGAUUCCCCUAGUAGCGGCGAGCGAACGGGGAGCAGCCCAGAGUCUUAAUCAGCAUCAGCAUCAGGAGAACGGUCUGGAAAGGCCGGCAAUAAAGGGUGAUAGCCCCGUAUCCGAAGGUGUUGGUGUUGUGAACUCGAUGAGUAGGACGGGACACGUGUUAUCCUGUCUGAAUAUGGGGGGACCAUCCUCCAAG
Molecule: ribosomal RNA, 433 nt
Filed under: Providencia stuartii
Lineage: Bacteria; Pseudomonadati; Pseudomonadota; Gammaproteobacteria; Enterobacterales; Morganellaceae
Description: partial 23S ribosomal RNA
Rfam family: Bacterial large subunit ribosomal RNA
Source: RNAcentral